CUGCCGGCGACCGGCGCACGGGUGAGUAACACGUAUGCAACCUGCCCCCCGCAGGGGGAUAACCCGGAGAAAUCCGGACUAAUACCGCGUGGUACACCAGUGGGGCAUCCCACUGGUGUUAAAAGGAAGUGAUUCCGGCGGAGGAUGGGCAUGCGGCGCAUUAGCUUGUUGGCGGGGUAACGGCCCACCAAGGCGACGAUGCGUAGGGGUUCUGAGAGGAAGGUCCCCCACACUGGUACUGAGACACGGACCAGACUCCUACGGAAGGCAGCAG
This 274-nucleotide ribosomal RNA is filed under the name uncultured bacterium. RNAcentral describes it as "partial 16S ribosomal RNA". It matches the Rfam family "Bacterial small subunit ribosomal RNA", at positions 85 to 354 of the family's 1533-position model. The record is from RNAcentral.